CUGCAGGAGGUUUCUUGGGAGUUCAGCCCAGCGCGCAGCCCCGCCGCGACGCCGCGAGCCGAGAACUCUCCUGGGGCGAAGGGAGCGCUGAGAAGUCGCUACUCUUACUAAAAGGAUGCGUUGGAUGCUGGGCCAUACCCUUGGCGAUGCACACUGGAGACCCGCUCGGAUACGGACUCCAUUAACAUCAAACGGAGCGUGUUAGAGGAUCCGAGUUUACUGAGCACUUUCUAGGAAGCGUGCACUGAGCUACGUGCUUUCUAGGCCUUAGUUCAAUACUUAACCAUAUUCAUUAUAAUCCGGUGAAAUCGUAAUUAUUUAGCCUUAUUUUACAGAUGAGGACACUGCGUACCAACAAGUAACCUCACUAAGAAUUUCGUCAUGGAGGAGAAGGGAACCUGUAUUCAAAUUAGGAAGGAUCCUGAAGAAAGGGCACCUUUAGGUGGAAUUUUAUCUUUGGUUCUGCUGCAGAGUACUUGCUGCUUUUUAGUGCUCCCUCCACCCCCCUCAUUCUUCCUUGUAGAUUAGUCUGUUGUUUGUAUGCUGAGUUCCUUUUUUAAGCUCCUUGAAAGUUGGAACCCACUGCUGUUGCCUGUUCAGGAUGCUACACAUUGAAUCAACAUGGAUUUAUUAAGCGCUGAACGAGGGCUAGGGAUCGUGCUGGGUGCUGAGGAUUGAGUGGCGAACACUUGGGUCAGACAAGUAAAAGGGCAAUUAGAAUAACUGUUAAAUGCUUAGAUGGGGUUAGUUCUAUGGAAGCACCCAUGGGGGUGGGAUACAGAUCAGAGAGAAAAGGGUGGUCUGCAAAUAGUUUGGGAUGGCUACACUGGAGAGUGAUCAAGAGUGAGUGUAGGGCAGGGGUUGGCCGACUUUUUCCAUAAAGUGCUCUGAAAGUUGCAGAUUCCAGGAGAAGUAACUAUUGUCAGACCCAGACAAAUUGGAGCCUAGAGACCAGAAAGGAAGGAAACUCAUGCUUGUAUGUCUGAGAUAAGAACUGUCUCAAGGCCAGACGCGGUGGCUCACACCUGUAAUCCUAGUACUUUGGGAGGCCGAGGCGGGCGGAUCACGAGGUCAGGAGUUUGAGACCAGCCUGGCCAACGUGGUGAAAUUCCCGUCUCUACUAAAAAUACAAAAAAAAAAAAAAAAAACUGGGUGUGGUGGCGGGCGCCUGUAAUCCCAGCUACUGAGGAGGCUGAGGCAGGAGAAUCGCUUGAACUCGGAGGAGGUUAUAGUGAGCCGAGAUCGUGCCACUGCACUCCAGCCUGGGCGACAGAGCAAGACUCCGUCUCAAAAAAAAAAAAAAAGAAAGAACGAACUGCCUCAAGGACUUUAAAAAAUAAACCAAAAAACCCACAAUUUCUUCACAUCUUUCAUGCAUUUAAUGUUUUGCACAACUUGCUUGUUUUGCAAAUAUGCGCACAUUUCUAUGACAAGAUUUAUUGCUAAAUAUUCUUUAAAACUGCAGCAGUUCAGAUAAGAUACUGUCGAAAGGACGUUUGGCCCAGCAGCAGGACCUCCACCAAUGAACGGACUCCAAUUCUUGAUUUGAGCCUUGGGAACCAAUCAACUUAGUUUCCAAGAGUUUAUGUGAACUUCCCUCCUUUACCAGUAAAAUCUUCCCCCUAUUCUUCCCUUCUCCAGACCCGUGGCUUGCCAUAGCUGUACAUCUUGGAUUAUAAUUCUUUUUGUUCACUCCCAAAGAAACUCAGUAUCUUUGGAGAAUUCUUUCUUUGUUGUCUUUUAGCUUCCCAGAGCCAAACAAGAAAUAUUUUAGGUUUUGUGGGUCAUGCUGGCUUGGUCACAGCUAUUCAACUUGUAUCUUAAAAUUAGCCAUAGACAGUAUGAAUGGGUGGGUCUCUGUUCCAAUAAAACCUUAUCCUAAACACUGAAGUUUGAAUUUUAUGUAAUUUUCAACUGUCAUGAAAUACUCAUCUUUUGAUCUUUUUCAGCCACUGAAAAAUGUAAAAGCCAUCCUUAAGUUGCAAGCUAUACAAAAACAGACAGUGGACUGGAUUUGACCCUUGAGCCAUUUGUCCAUGUGCCCUCACCUGAUCUAGAAAGCUAAAAUGCACAUGCCUCACGCCUGUAAUCCCAGCACUUUGGGAGGCCAAGGUGGGCGGAUCAGCUGAGGUUAGGAGUUCGAGACCAGCCUGGGCAAUAUGGAGAAACUCUACUAAAAGUACAAAAAAAUUAGCUGGGCGUGGUGGCAGGUGC
RNAcentral lists this long non-coding RNA (2214 nucleotides) under Homo sapiens (human). RNAcentral describes it as "non-protein coding lnc-ETFBKMT-8:4". The record is from RNAcentral. Lineage: Eukaryota; Metazoa; Chordata; Mammalia; Primates; Hominidae.